UUUGGAAGUCACUGUUAUAUUAUGGUGUUGCUUAAAUAUUUGACACCCAACUUGUAAACGUAGAAAGCUAUAUUUUUCGUCAUUAUAUGUACCAUAUCAUAUAAGUUCAAUAUAAAUUGAUAAGCUCGUUACCUCUACUGUCUUUUAACUAUCGUGUAGUCUUUUUCUUUUAAACUUUGUCAAUCUUAUCUUUUAAUCUGUAACUUUAUCUACUUAGUUAAGAUUUUGAUAUAUUUGUAAUAGUAAGCCAUUAACAUAAAUACGAAUAUUAAUUACUGAUAUCAUUAGUGAAAUGCAUGCAUGUUGUGUCUUUCUUCAUUCUGUUCAUGUAAGCUCUAAAAAUAUAUAACUUGGUACUUCAUCUUGCUCUACAAAUGUAAAGAACAUGUUGACCAUACAAUAUAUGUGAAUUUUCUAUUUUCUUAAUUGAUCUUAUCGUUAGCUAGAAUGUUUUUUGCAUUAAGUGUAAAGUAUUAGCCUAUUUUCUACCAUUAUUUAAUUAGCUUCAUAUAGGAGCAUUGACGAUAUGUUUUGCUGAAAAUCUCUCUUUUUAAUGUUCACUUGUAUUAAUGUUUGUAUUUUGCAAUUUUUUUUUGUAGAAUGUGGUAUUGGAUUAAUCAAAACAUAAGAUCUUACCCAAACUAUUCAUGAUUUUUUCCGCCAACCCUGUAUAUACUCUCCUUUCUCCUCUUCAUCUGAAUGCUUUCUAUUGCUUUCUAUUUGAUAUUUAGGUGUGAAUUUAAUUCAAGUUUCUUUGUUAACUUAAUUGUUUAUUUUGUUACAACAUGUAUUAAUUUCAUUUAUCUUUCUUUUGCAUAUGAAUCUAUUGUGGAGUUCAAAUGGACUCUUUUCCUCCAUAUCUUGUAACGGACUAAUGCGGCCUAUCCCUUUGAGCCAGCUAUCUUUGGAGAAAGAAGGAUCUACCAUAAGCAGAAGGAGAAAUGGGUCGAAAUGUCAUUGUUGAAGUCGUUAAGAGACUUGAAAAGUUUCGAUUUUCACUAUUAUUAUUUUUAUCUUUAUUUAUGUACCUAUCUAUUUAUUAAUUCAUUCAUUUGGGGCCUCGAAACCGAAGUUUUAACUAAAAAUUACACAAAUCCACAACUUAAGUUUCACUUAUUACAAUAAAUCCCAUCUUUCCAAACAUAUUAUAAAAAUUCCAUUUUUCUCUAAAAAUAUAUAUACAUAGCUUCUAUGUAUAUGUCGGCCCUGUUAUGUAUAUGAAUCGGC
RNAcentral lists this long non-coding RNA (1227 nucleotides) under Capsicum annuum. Its description in RNAcentral is "long non-coding RNA (CANN_LNC007842)". Lineage: Eukaryota; Viridiplantae; Streptophyta; Magnoliopsida; Solanales; Solanaceae. The record is from RNAcentral.